This 2433-nucleotide long non-coding RNA is filed under the name Gossypium barbadense (sea-island cotton). Its description in RNAcentral is "long non-coding RNA (GBAR_LNC003616)". The record is from RNAcentral. Lineage: Eukaryota; Viridiplantae; Streptophyta; Magnoliopsida; Malvales; Malvaceae.
AUAAAUAAAAAUUUAAUAGAUUUCAUAACACGUUUUCAUGGAUGUUUGAUCUAGGAAAUUGUAUAAUAAUAAUUUAAGACAAUAUUUUUUCAAAUAAGAUAUUAAAUUAAAAAUAUAUAAUAAAUUAUAAAAUGAUUUAAAUUUUCUUAUAGUAUAAAUAAUUAAAGUAAAAUUAUACAAAAUUAUAAAAUAAAUUUAAUAUAUUUUAAUUAAUACAUACUGUACGGGCCUAAAUUUGCCCGAUGCCCAUGACUCAAAACCAAAAACAAAAAUAAAUAAAAACCAAAUUUUCAAACCAAAAUAAACAGCCCAAUAAAAAACCCCAAACUCAAAUUUUAGCCCAAACCUUAAAACCACAAUCAGCACAAUAACAAAUACAGCCCAAACUAUUAAUCUAAUGCAAAAAAUAUCAGCAGAACCCUAGGAACGUUCAGCCAUCGCCCCGCGCCUCUUCGUCUGCUCGCACGCUGCUCCAUCAGUCGCCCUCCACGCGUCGUUUGACAUCUGAAACAAGCACAAUAGCAGAGAAAGAAGCAUGCGAGCGCAGAGAAAUAAAGAGCAAAAAACAAAAAAACUAAAAGGGAAUCGAUUGUAAAUGGCUUUAAAAGCCCGGAUCUACUCUCUUGUAAUUUUUUUACGUACAUUUUACAAGCAAAAACUAAUAAAAAAAACAGAAUACUCGUUUUAAAGGUGAUUUUUUUUGUGUGUGAAGAUUUCUGUCUCUUUAUCUUGUUUUUACUUUUGUUUCUCUUAGUUUUUUUAUUUUAUUUUAUUUCACUUACGAAAAUAAAAGGGAAAUAAAACUUACCGGAAAACCCCCAUGGUCGGUCGUCGGAGACUUCUUUCUCCAUCGGAGUUGAGCCCAAAAGGGGAGGUUGGGAAGUCCCUUUAUUUUUGGGCACUCGACCGAGGGAUUUGGGACCUUCAAAGGCACCACAAACAGAGGCUAGGUAGCCUAUUUCACUUGUCGUUGGCCACUGAUUGUAAUGGUGGUGUGACAAACCACUGAGGGCGGCGAUGAGGGGUUCAGGACCCUAGCCGAACGGAAGAGAAAAGGGGGUAGGGAGGCUGAGUUCUUUUAAAAAAUAAGCAGCAGAAAUCUGCCUACAAAAGGAAGAAACCCUUUUGUUUUCUUUAAAAGGUGAAACGACGCAGUGUAAAAGGGGGGUCAUUUUCAAAGCCCGAAUGGGAUAUUUUCUACUCAGGUCCCUCUGUUGUCUUGCGUGUUUCAAUCAUCCCUUUUGCAUUUUUCUACAUUUAAAAUUAUCCCCGCAAGUUUGUGUGAUUGUUGCUUUGGUCCCCUUGUUUAAAAUCUUUUAUUUCUUUUAUUUUGAGUUCUUUUUUCUUUGUCUUAUUUAAAUUGUUUUACAUAUUAUUAUUAUUUGGUAUAUUAUUUAUUAUUGUAACACCCGUUAACCCCAAUUUGUAGCCAGAACGAGGUUAUGAGGCAUUACCAGACAUAUUAGACAACUUACGAAUAAUUUACAAUUAAUAUAACUUUCAUAGUAUAAUAUAAUAAUUAAGUCCCUAUAUUGGACUCUCAAAGUUCAAACACGUAUUAAAAGUAGAACGGGACUUGUUCGAGUAUUCCGGGAUUUCUUUUUUUUAUAAAAAAUUUCGAUAGCAUUUCUGCUUAUUUUUACCUAAAACCCCUGCAAAUUCAAACCAAAACAACCAACACCAAUGUUUCACAUUCAUAUAACUAAUAUUUAUAUCAUUAGCAUAUUUUUUUUAACUUCAUAACUAUUAUAGCAUCAUUCUAAAUUGAUUAAAAACUUCAUUCAUUUAACCAUCUAAAUCUUAUAAUUCAUCCUUCACUACCCAAAGUAAUAUACAUAUUCAAGUGACUAAACAACACCUAUGUACAUGCCACCUUUACCCAAAAGAAAAAUAUACAUCACCAAAUUUGUGUUGGAGUCGGGAUUGUUCUGGAUGCUGAGCGGGGACACUUGACUUCUACUAACCUGCGCACGGAAACAACCGUACGCUGAGUAUGGAUAUACUCAGUGGUAUUACCAUAAUUCAAAAUAUAUCAUCAAUAAUAAAAAAUAUAAAUAUUAAAAUACAUAACAAUUAAUUUCUUAAAUACUAAUUCAUACUUUAUUUUUAUAUUUAUUUUCAUCAUUUCAUAAUAACAAUUCAAUUUAAUUAUUCAUCAAUUAAUGUAUUUUUCACAAACUUGAAUUUAAACCACUUAUGAACAUUUAGCUCAUACUUUUCUCUUUCUAUCACAAUUCCAAUUUCUAUUCAUAAUUCAAUAUUUUUUUAUUUCAAUGCCUUAAAUUCACAUGUCAACUUUUCACCCUAUUAACGUAACUCGGACUUUGGUAGAUACACGGAUCCAACCGAACACACCAAUAUGGCACCCAAUGCCUCAUCGGAUAGUUCGAAGUAAUAGUUGACACCCAAUGUCUCAUCGACCUAGCCGAAGUA